GGAAAUGUAGCUUAGCAGUACAGUGCUUGCUUAACAAGCAUGAAGCCCUGGGUUCGAUUCCUCAGUACCA
Molecule: transfer RNA, 70 nt
Filed under: Dipodomys ordii (Ord's kangaroo rat)
Lineage: Eukaryota; Metazoa; Chordata; Mammalia; Rodentia; Heteromyidae
Rfam family: tRNA
About the family: Transfer RNA (tRNA) molecules are approximately 80 nucleotides in length. Their secondary structure includes four short double-helical elements and three loops (D, anti-codon, and T loops). Further hydrogen bonds mediate the characteristic L-shaped molecular structure. tRNAs have two regions of fundamental functional importance: the anti-codon, which is responsible for specific mRNA codon recognition, and the 3' end, to which the tRNAs corresponding amino acid is attached (by aminoacyl-tRNA synthetases). tRNAs cope with the degeneracy of the genetic code in two manners: having more than one tRNA (with a specific anti-codon) for a particular amino acid; and 'wobble' base-pairing, i.e. permitting non-standard base-pairing at the 3rd anti-codon position.
Source: Rfam by way of RNAcentral